RNAcentral lists this ribosomal RNA (466 nucleotides) under uncultured bacterium. RNAcentral describes it as "bacterial SSU rRNA". It matches the Rfam family "Bacterial small subunit ribosomal RNA", at positions 43 to 524 of the family's 1533-position model. The record is from RNAcentral.
CAGGCCUAACACAUGCAAGUCGAACGGAAAGGCCCAGCUUGCUGGGUGCUCGAGUGGCGAACGGGUGAGUAACACGUGGGUGAUCUGCCCCUAACUUCGGGAUAAGCUUGGGAAACUGGGUCUAAUACCGGAUAGGACAAUCGUUUAGUGUCGGUUGUGGAAAGUUUUUUCGGUUAGGGAUGAGCCCGCGGCCUAUCAGCUUGUUGGUGGGGUAAUGGCCUACCAAGGCGUCGACGGGUAGCCGGCCUGAGAGGGUGGACGGCCACAUUGGGACUGAGAUACGGCCCAGACUCCUACGGGAGGCAGCAGUGGGGAAUAUUGCACAAUGGGCGCAAGCCUGAUGCAGCGACGCCGCGUGGGGGAUGACGGCCUUCGGGUUGUAAACCUCUUUCGACAGGGACGAAGCUUUGGUGACGGUACCUGUAUAAGAAGCACCGGCUAACUACGUGCCAGCAGCCGCGGUAAU